This 1223-nucleotide ribosomal RNA is filed under the name Escherichia coli. RNAcentral's name for it is "partial 23S ribosomal RNA". It matches the Rfam family "Bacterial large subunit ribosomal RNA", at positions 375 to 1606 of the family's 2925-position model. Lineage: Bacteria; Pseudomonadati; Pseudomonadota; Gammaproteobacteria; Enterobacterales; Enterobacteriaceae. The record is from RNAcentral.
GUACACAAAAAUGCACAUAUUGUGAGCUCGAUGAGUAGGGCGGGACACGUGGUAUCCUGUCUGAAUAUGGGGGGACCAUCCUCCAAGGCUAAAUACUCCUGACUGACCGAUAGUGAACCAGUACCGUGAGGGAAAGGCGAAAAGAACCCCGGCGAGGGGAGUGAAAAAGAACCUGAAACCGUGUACGUACAAGCAGUGGGAGCCUCUUAAUGGGGUGACUGCGUACCUUUUGUAUAAUGGGUCAGCGACUUAUAUUCUGUAGCAAGGUUAACCGAAUAGGGGAGCCGAAGGGAAACCGAGUCUUAACUGGGCGUUAAGUUGCAGGGUAUAGACCCGAAACCCGGUGAUCUAGCCAUGGGCAGGUUGAAGGUUGGGUAACACUAACUGGAGGACCGAACCGACUAAUGUUGAAAAAUUAGCGGAUGACUUGUGGCUGGGGGUGAAAGGCCAAUCAAACCGGGAGAUAGCUGGUUCUCCCCGAAAGCUAUUUAGGUAGCGCCUCGUGAAUUCAUCUCCGGGGGUAGAGCACUGUUUCGGCAAGGGGGUCAUCCCGACUUACCAACCCGAUGCAAACUGCGAAUACCGGAGAAUGUUAUCACGGGAGACACACGGCGGGUGCUAACGUCCGUCGUGAAGAGGGAAACAACCCAGACCGCCAGCUAAGGUCCCAAAGUCAUGGUUAAGUGGGAAACGAUGUGGGAAGGCCCAGACAGCCAGGAUGUUGGCUUAGAAGCAGCCAUCAUUUAAAGAAAGCGUAAUAGCUCACUGGUCGAGUCGGCCUGCGCGGAAGAUGUAACGGGGCUAAACCAUGCACCGAAGCUGCGGCAGCGACACUAUGUGUUGUUGGGUAGGGGAGCGUUCUGUAAGCCUGUGAAGGUGGCCUGUGAGGGUUGCUGGAGGUAUCAGAAGUGCGAAUGCUGACAUAAGUAACGAUAAAGCGGGUGAAAAGCCCGCUCGCCGGAAGACCAAGGGUUCCUGUCCAACGUUAAUCGGGGCAGGGUGAGUCGACCCCUAAGGCGAGGCCGAAAGGCGUAGUCGAUGGGAAACAGGUUAAUAUUCCUGUACUUGGUGUUACUGCGAAGGGGGGACGGAGAAGGCUAUGUUGGCCGGGCGACGGUUGUCCCGGUUUAAGCGUGUAGGCUGGUUUUCCAGGCAAAUCCGGAAAACCAAGGCUGAGGCGUGAUGACGAGGCACUACGGUGCUGAAGCGACAAAUGCCCUGCU